Long non-coding RNA from Lolium rigidum, 872 nucleotides. RefSeq lists it as uncharacterized. The transcript is spliced from 2 exons. NCBI's taxonomy places the organism in Eukaryota, Viridiplantae, Streptophyta, Magnoliopsida, Poales, Poaceae. The record is from RefSeq and is a predicted model, not a curated record.
CUUAUCUGAGAAAGGGGGCUGAAAAUAUCUCUGCCUCUCUCCACGUUCUCUCUCCCUCCCAUCCUCUCCUCCUCCAAUCCGUCGCCGCCGCCCCUCCCGCUCCUCUCUCGCCGCUGCCCGUCCUGCUCCUCCCCCCAGUUUCUUCUUCUUCCUCCCCUCCCUAUUUGUCAUGCCCCAGAAGGAGGAGCACGGGGAAGGGGUGCUAGGACGUGGUCAGAGAGGGAGAACGAGUGAAUAGGGGAUUGACGGAGGAGGAAGAGAGUUCCAGCGGCGCGCUGCAUCUCCCUCCAUCUCGGCUUCUCUUCGUCUCGCGCAGUGGCCGGUGGCCUGCCGGGAUCUGCCCCUCCACCCAACCCCUCUUGGUUUGGGGCAGAAGGAGGUUGUCGACGGUGCCGAGGUAUAUGGACUGAAGGUUACUGUGCAUGCACCUCCAUUCAUAUCAAGCUUGCAGUGUCACAAGAGAUGGAUACAUGAUUUUCUGCUUGUUGUGCGACCCCCAUCUGCCACAUAACAAGGCCUGCUAACGUUUCUUUUCUCCUCUGCGAUGAGGGACGCUGCCAUGGAUUCUCUGUCCGGGUGUCCCAGCAGCAUGUCGGGGAAGAUUUGAUCUGCAAGGCGGAGCACGCUCGAGAGACGGCGAUAUACGGAGCAAGGAGUUUAAGGCACACCUUUGUUCUUAGUAUUGGAUCCUGCGCCCAUUUUGACUUCUCAAGAAUAACUGAAUGUAUGAUUACUUCAUAAGGUUAGUUCAUGGCAUACUGCAUUCCAGAGUGUUCCUCUACUAUAGCAUCUAUAUGAAAACUACAUCCGUACCUUCAUUGUAAAAUAACUUUUUUGAUGAUGAAUAUGAUGCGCUUAGUCAGUUGUGCUUA